AGCAGCCGCGGUAAUUCCAGCUCCAAUAGCGUAUAUUAAAGUUGUUGCAGUUAAAAAGCUCGUAGUUGAAUUUCGGGAUCAAGGAAUCGGUCAUGCCUUGGUAUGUACUGGUUUUAUUGGUUCUCACCUUCUAAAGAACCAUAAUGUCAUUCAUUUGAUGUUAUGGGGAAUUAGGACUGUUACCUUGAAAAAAUUAGAGUGUUUAAAGCAGGCUUUACGCUUGAAUACAUUAGCAUGGAAUAAUGAAAUAGGACAUCAGAUUCUAUUUUGUUGGUUUCUAGGAUCGAUGUAAUGAUUAAUAGGGAUAGUUGGGGGCAUUAGUAUUCAAUUGUCAGAGGUGAAAUUCUUGGAUUUAUUGAAGACUAACUACUGCGAAAGCAUUUGCCAAGGAUGUUUUCAUUAAUCAAGAACGAAAGUUAGGGGAUCGAAGACGAUCAGAUACCGUCGUAGUCUUAACCAUAAACUAUGCCGACUAGGGAUCGGAUGAUGUUAAUUUUAUAAUGACUCAUUCGGCACCUUACG
This 522-nucleotide ribosomal RNA is filed under the name uncultured Glomeraceae. RNAcentral describes it as "SSU rRNA". It matches the Rfam family "Eukaryotic small subunit ribosomal RNA", at positions 569 to 1092 of the family's 1831-position model. The record is from RNAcentral. Lineage: Eukaryota; Fungi; Glomeromycota; Glomeromycetes; Glomerales; Glomeraceae.